This 45-nucleotide non-coding RNA is filed under the name Schistosoma curassoni. The record is from RNAcentral. Lineage: Eukaryota; Metazoa; Platyhelminthes; Trematoda; Strigeidida; Schistosomatidae.
GUCAAGCUGACGAGUCCCAAAUAAGACGAAAAGCGCAUCCUGGAU